GAAAUAAACUGGUGAUGAUGAUGAAUCUUUAAUGAAGACGUACCGAUGAACCGGGGGUCUCCAUUACAAUGAGCAGGGCCUGUAAUUGGUGACAGGAACAAGAGGGAUUCGAGUCUGAGACUCCAAAAGGAUAAGAUUCCGCCAGGCUGUACGCUGGCGUAGCAUAAUGCUGCCCCCCACAGCGUUGCUGGUCGCCGGAGGAGCGGCAGAGCGAGUGAGCCGGUACGGAGGCCCCUUAGGGGGACAACGUGGUGCCCACCGAGGCUUUCCUUUCUGCCUCUGUGAAGUUCAGUUUUCAUUUAUGUUGGACUGUUUUUAGAGUGGCAGAGUUUUAUUACUUUUUUUUAUAAAUUUUUGUAAGUUUCUUAAUUAUUUGGCUUUUUAGUUUAAUAGUGGAAGACUUUCUUAUCCAAUCACGAUAUUCUGGGUUUUCAUGUAUCCCAUAAUCCCUUGCGUGCCAGAGAGUGGCUGCAGUCAAAACAACAUAGAGAAUCCACACGAUGACAAUUGUAAAUG
Molecule: long non-coding RNA, 516 nt
Organism: Thalassophryne amazonica
Lineage: Eukaryota; Metazoa; Chordata; Actinopteri; Batrachoidiformes; Batrachoididae
Exons: 3
Source: RefSeq, a predicted model, not a curated record